RNAcentral lists this ribosomal RNA (512 nucleotides) under uncultured bacterium. Its description in RNAcentral is "partial 16S ribosomal RNA". It matches the Rfam family "Bacterial small subunit ribosomal RNA", at positions 28 to 507 of the family's 1533-position model. The record is from RNAcentral.
GACGAACGCUGGCGGCGUGCUUAACACAUGCAAGUCGAACGAGCGCGUAGAGCCAGCUUGCUUUUUUUACAAUCUAGUGGCAAACGGGUGCGUAAAGCGUAACCCACCUGCCCAACUGAUGGUGCCAACAGCAGGAAACGGCUGCUAAUACCGAAUCCGCUCCGAAAGUCGCCUGAGUACCGGAAGACAGGCUGGCCUCUCUUUCUCAGCUAUCGCAGGAGGUGGGUUUUGCGUCUGAUUAGGACGUUGGAGGGGUAAUGGCCCACUAAGGCGACGAACAGUAGCCGGUCUGAGAGGAUGAACGGCCACAUUGGAACUGAGACACGGUCCAGACUCCUACGGGAGGCAGCAGUGGGGAAUCUGCCGCAAUGGGCGAAGACUGACAGAGAAACGCCGCGAGAGAGAAGACGGCCGUCGGGUUGUAAAGCGCUGUUAAACGGGACGAAUAAUCGUGUGGUUAAUACCCAUGAGAAGUGACGGUACCGUAAGAGAAAGCCACGGCUAACUACGUG